Molecule: long non-coding RNA, 223 nt
Filed under: Haliotis rubra (blacklip abalone)
Lineage: Eukaryota; Metazoa; Mollusca; Gastropoda; Lepetellida; Haliotidae
Description: uncharacterized LOC124258831
Source: RNAcentral
GAUCAUCGAUCUGACCUCGGUUGCGCAAGGGCGAAAAUGAGACACAAGAAUUCCGGCAGAUACAAACAGAAGUGAUGGAUUUAUUGAGGAUUACAUCAAAUAAUCCAGGAGCUGUGAAUCAGUAGACAAAAAUGGAUAAAGUCGAAAUCAAAGAAGAAGAUUCUGAAAUAAUCUCGAAAAGUGUACGCGUUUUCUGAAAAAAAUUAAUAAAGAGUGUUGAUUA